UUUCCGGAAGAAACCCCCCCCUCGUGAGGGGGACUUGACGUACCGUAAGAAUAAGGAUCGGCUAACUCCGUUCCAGCAGCCGCGGUAAUACGGAGGAUCAAGCGUUAUCCGGAAUCAUUGGGUUAAAGGGUCCGUAGGCGCCCUUAUAAGUCAGUGGUGAAAUCUCCUAGCUCAACUAGGAAACUGCCAUUGAUACUGUAGGGCUUGAAUUAUUGUGAAGUAACUAGAAUAUGUAGUGUAGCGGUGAAAUGCUUAGAUAUUACAUGGAAUACCAAUUGCGAAGGCAGGUUACUAACAAUAUAUUGACGCUGAUGGACGAAAGCGUGGGUAGCGAACAGGAUUAGAUACCCUGGUAGUCCACGCCGUAAACGAUGGAUACUAGCUGUUGGGGGCAACUUCAGUGGCUAAGCGAAAGUGAUAAGUAUCCCACCUGGGGAGUACGAACGCAAGUUUGAAACUCAAAGGAAUUGACGGGGGCCCGCACAAGCGGUGGAGCAUGUGGUUUAAUUCGAUGAUACGCGAGGAACCUUACCAAGGCUUAAAUGUAGAUUGACAGGACAGGAAACUGUUUUUUCUUCGGACAAUUUACAAGGUGCUGCAUGGUUGUCGUCAGCUCGUGCCGUGAGGUGUCAGGUUAAGUCCUAUAACGAGCGCAACCCCUGUUGUUAGUUGCCAGCGAGUCAUGUCGGGAACUCUAACGAGACUGCCAGUGCAAACUGUGAGGAAGGUGGGGAUGACGUCAAGUAAUCG
Molecule: ribosomal RNA, 750 nt
Filed under: uncultured bacterium
Lineage: Bacteria
Description: bacterial SSU rRNA
Rfam family: Bacterial small subunit ribosomal RNA
Source: RNAcentral